GUAGCAGACCGGUCUGCCGCUAAUUGCUUGACAGUUAGAGGAAAGUCCGGGCAACACAGGGCGCCAUGCUUCCUAACGGGAAGUUGUUCGCGAGGGCAAAGCAACGUAACAGAGAACGACCGCCGCGUUUCGGCGCGGUAAGGGUGAAAAGGCGAGGUAAGAGCUCACCGUCCGUAUGGCGACAUACGGGGCUGUACGCCUGAUGGGUUGUAAGGUCAUGUACACCGGCUUUUAGGGCUGCCCGUCCGAUGCCGGGGGGUGGACUGCACGAACUUGUCGGCGACGACAGGUCCAGAUAAAUGGCAGACAUUCCGAUUCGUCGGAAUACAGAACCCGGCUUACAGGUCGGCUGCAUCU
This 357-nucleotide RNase P RNA is filed under the name Tannerella sp. Its description in RNAcentral is "RNase P RNA component class A". It matches the Rfam family "Bacterial RNase P class A". From Rfam's summary of the family: Ribonuclease P (RNase P) is a ubiquitous endoribonuclease, found in archaea, bacteria and eukarya as well as chloroplasts and mitochondria. Its best characterised activity is the generation of mature 5'-ends of tRNAs by cleaving the 5'-leader elements of precursor-tRNAs. The record is from RNAcentral. Lineage: Bacteria; Pseudomonadati; Bacteroidota; Bacteroidia; Bacteroidales; Tannerellaceae.